Dermochelys coriacea (leatherback sea turtle) is the source of this 1486-nucleotide long non-coding RNA. RefSeq lists it as uncharacterized. The transcript is spliced from 4 exons. The record is from RefSeq and is a predicted model, not a curated record. Lineage: Eukaryota; Metazoa; Chordata; Testudines; Dermochelyidae.
CAAGGGGUGGGGAGAGAGAACUUUACAAGGGAGGGGUCCUGGGUAAAUUGAACCUGGUACAAAAGCCUGACUCAGCAACUGUGUCUCAUUUUAAUCCCAGGAAGUACAGAGGAGCGUCUAAUAGAAAAUAAAGGCGUAAAUGACUGCGUAAGCUGCACAGCUGUGGUGAAUCAAGCCUUCAGUUUGUCACUUUCUGGGUCGUGCUGUAACUUCCUUGGAGCCAUCCUGCUACUGGGAGGCACACAGGAAAUGUCAACCAGGCCUUCACAGUCUAUAGAGGUGAUGUGACAGCAGAGCAUCUCCAAAUCCGUCAGUUUCCAAUCCAAGUAUUGACCAGAUGUGACCCUCCUUAGUUGAUGAAAUCACAGUCCACAGUGGUAUGGCUGCAGAGUCAUUGAAACACUUCUGGAGAGUAAGCAUCCAGGAGUCCAUCUCUGCCAUCAGAGGUUCAUGCUUGCAUGACCCAGUUUACAAAUAUCUGUAUAGGCAGCAGCGUAGUCUUUACUUUUCUCCUGGUAUGCAGCAUGGCAGAACAAAUGAUCUGAUCUACACCUUGAAUGGAAAGGGAAAACAAUGUAAAUGGGGAAAGCAUUGAAGAACCAUGAUUAUAUUGAAGACACUACAAUGUAAAUACUGGUAAAGGUGUUUUAUUUCUAUUUACAUGGGUUGCUAAUAGUGAUCAAUUAUUGGUAAAGCUGAGUUCCAGUUUCUAUGCUACUGCUGCUUUUUCCAGUUGGUUAUAACUCUCCUGAACUUUUUUUUUCCUUUUCUCUUUCUGGCUCAAUUUUUCAAAGAUUGGUCUCAGCUGAAAAAUGAAUGUUUGUUUAUUUUGGGAAAAUUUAAACAAAAUGUUUCUGACUUUCAGUUAAAGUGUAUUUUUCCCUCCUUGCAUUUGAUUUAACUUACACAUUUGAAUAGUUAGUGAUUUGGGGAGGAUGCAUUUGUAAGAAUGCCAAAAUGUAGGGGAGGCCGUCAAUUAAGGAUAUCUUUAAUAAAGAAUCCAUUUGUUACAGCCACCUCACUUUAAGGUGUCAGGUAGAACUGCACUAUGAGUUUUUUCAGCACUUGAGGAAAAUCAACUACAAAAAUUAGCAUUGAUGUGAUAGUCACGAAAUCAAGAACUCCCCUUAGGAAAUCUCAAAAGUUGAGGUUUUACCACCAUGUUAACUCCAUCACAUUAUUCAGAUAUAGUACUUUUUAUUGUAAUUUACCUUCUGAAUUGCAAACCUUAUCAUAUUACCAUGUAACUUUUUACAGGAUAUACAAAGUUAUUACAGUGGUAGGAAUCUUAAUGUUGGCUAUUUCCUUUAUAUGUGAAUGCUUGAUUUGUCAGCAUUAACAGUAAUUCUUGCAUUUAAUAGUAUGCCUCUUUAUGAUUUGCAGUAAUCAUUGGAGGGAGGUUAGUUUAAUAGCGUAACUAGAUAAAUAUGUGGUUAACAGGUAUUGAUUUAACCAAAGGGUUCCCAUUUUUUCAUAGUAUGGGACA